This 577-nucleotide long non-coding RNA is filed under the name Homo sapiens (human). RNAcentral's name for it is "HSALNT0111767". Lineage: Eukaryota; Metazoa; Chordata; Mammalia; Primates; Hominidae. The record is from RNAcentral.
CAAAUGAUUCUAAGGUUCUGUUUGUUAUCCAAGUUAUCAUUCCAUAACCUUUGUCAGAAUGUUCUCUCUUAUUUAUGACUGAAAUCCUGCAAUAGAAACCAAAACCUAUAUGCCUCUAUUACUAUACCAAAUGAAGGGCUUUGGAAAAAAGCCACACUUUGAGAAUGCUCAGGAAGAAUUAGCAAAACUGAUCCUGCCAUAAAACAAUACAACCCAAAGAGUUCUUUCCUGAGACUAAAAUUAUUUGGCUAGGAGGAGGGAAGGAUGGUGAAGAAUACAGUUUAGGAAGUGAUCUAGCUGAGAAAGGGUUGCAGUUGGAUUAGAGUCAAAAAUUCCAGAGCAGCAGGCCCAAGGAAGAAUAACAGUAUGCAGAAAUGAGGCAUUUGGCUGCUUAAGAAAUCAAGAGGGGGGCACACAAACAGGGUGUAGUGAAGGCAUCAUAAUGGUAAUCACUUAUCUCCACCAAACUGUGACAAAACUGAAUGAGGGAUCUGCUUCAGAAAGCUACAGCAGAGGCAUCCGUCAUUAUUACUGUGAAGACAUUCAUGCUUGGAGGUGAAGCAAUUGUCUCAUGAAG